This 342-nucleotide ribosomal RNA is filed under the name uncultured bacterium. RNAcentral describes it as "bacterial SSU rRNA". It matches the Rfam family "Bacterial small subunit ribosomal RNA", at positions 28 to 375 of the family's 1533-position model. The record is from RNAcentral.
GACGAACGCUGGCGGCGUGCUUAACACAUGCAAGUCGAGCGGUAAGGCCCUUUCGGGGGUACGACGAGCGGCGAACGGGUGAGUAACACGUGGGUGACCUGCCCUCAGCUCUGGGAUAAGCCUGGGAAACCGGGUCUAAUACCGGAUAUGACUCCAUGACGCAUGUUGUGGGGUGAAAGCCUUGUGCGGCUGAGGAUGGGCCCGNGGCCUAUCAGCUUGUUGGUGGGUGAUGGCCUACCAAGCGACGACGGUAGCCGGCCUGAGAGGCGACCGGCCACACUGGGACUGAGACACGGCCCAGACUCCUACGGGAGGCAGCAGUGGGGAAUCUUGCGCAAUGGG